GCCUUCGUGGUGUAGUGGUUAGCACACUCGGCACGUAUUCGAGAGGUCCAUGGUUCGAGUCCCGGCGAAGGCA
Molecule: transfer RNA, 73 nt
Filed under: Stegodyphus mimosarum
Lineage: Eukaryota; Metazoa; Arthropoda; Arachnida; Araneae; Eresidae
Rfam family: tRNA
About the family: Transfer RNA (tRNA) molecules are approximately 80 nucleotides in length. Their secondary structure includes four short double-helical elements and three loops (D, anti-codon, and T loops). Further hydrogen bonds mediate the characteristic L-shaped molecular structure. tRNAs have two regions of fundamental functional importance: the anti-codon, which is responsible for specific mRNA codon recognition, and the 3' end, to which the tRNAs corresponding amino acid is attached (by aminoacyl-tRNA synthetases). tRNAs cope with the degeneracy of the genetic code in two manners: having more than one tRNA (with a specific anti-codon) for a particular amino acid; and 'wobble' base-pairing, i.e. permitting non-standard base-pairing at the 3rd anti-codon position.
Source: Rfam by way of RNAcentral